AUCUAAAAUAAUAAAAUAAAAAAUUCUAUUAUGCUUUCGCUCCUGUUCUUUCUCUCUACUUAUGCUGCCGCUUGCUGUCCUCUCUCUGUGCCUCUUCCAUUGUUGGAUGCCUUUCUCUUGUGUACUUGAGGUCCUUUUUAUAGACCUUAGAAAGAGAGGGAUUUUUAUUGUUUACCGACGUGGGAUUACAAGACGUUAUGUUCAGCAUCCUAAUUCUCCACGGACUCCUUAUUUUUUUAAGAUUUAAAAUCUUACAGCUUCUCUGUUCAUCGCAUCACGUCUGUGCGUCCACGUCCCAGCGCCUCACCCAAUUCCGCGUAUCUAAACUCUCUGGUCCAGCCUUGCUCGAAUCCUCUGUAGGCCGCGCCGCGUUAUUUCUUCGUUCGCCCUGGUUGUGAACCGCACUGCUCUUGCACCACCAAGAUCGCGCCCAAAUGACCCGUUGCGCCUAGGUGCGUGUAAAUCUCCUGGACCCACACCACACUCGCGCCAAAUUCACGCUGAACCAGGUUUCCACUUGAAUCCCAUCGUGAGCUCCAGCAAUCCACUUUAUUUCAUGAGCCACACCCAGCCAAAAGCUUUUAAUGCUUUGAAUCUCCAUGAGCCCCUCCAAAUAACCUGGUCCACCUCUUCUCUCUCACAAAAAAUUACGUUUCUUCUUUUUUUUUAUAUAUUUUUAUUCAUUAAAUUUCUAUGUGGUACUCAUGAUGUUGAAAAAUGUAUCCUAAAAUCAGUCAUCUAGAUUGUAGAUGAUUGUGCUCCAUAUAAACAUAUAAAUUAUAAAAUAAUAAAUAUUAUCUAGCA
This 804-nucleotide long non-coding RNA is filed under the name Elaeis guineensis (African oil palm). RNAcentral describes it as "long non-coding RNA (EGUI_LNC037745)". The record is from RNAcentral. Lineage: Eukaryota; Viridiplantae; Streptophyta; Magnoliopsida; Arecales; Arecaceae.